AAUUUGCGCUUUAAAUGACUAGCUUCAAUUGAUCAGAUUUUCAUUUUUACUUUCUCUCUUUUCAUUUCAUUUUCUCUCUCUUCCUCUGAAUCCUCUCUAAUUCUCUCUCGUCCUUCGAAUUUAUCUGUGCUCUUAUCGUCAUUGGAUUUGUUGUUCUUCUUCGCUUUUUUCAUUGCAAAUUGAUACUGCACAAGAAGAAGAAAUGGCAUUGAAUCAUGUAAGGUCAUUGAAAUUUGCUAUGAAUUCAAUGGAGCCAAUGCGGAUGAUUGGUUCAAGGACAUAUGCUGCUGGGAAAGCAAAAAAAGGGGUCUAAAGGUAUCAUGUCUCAGCAAAGAAUUAAGGCUACCACUGUAGUGGGAGCUAACAUACUGAAGGAGGGCACAGAUCUUAAGAUACGGCUGGACUCUGAGUACCCAGAUCUUAAGCAACCAGCGUUGAGUGAGUUGCAAUGGUAAGAAGCUGAAGAUUUCCCUAUUGAAGAUCUUAAACGCUAUGUUAAGUUGGACAAUCAAGCAAGAAUCAAGUUAAACAGGAACUCUAAUAAUAUAUCUUCCCUUACCUAUUCUAAUGUGUGCAUCUUUUUUUAGAAGAACCGAGAUGAAAUUUAGAUCAAUACUUAUAUUGUCAUAUGAGUAUUAAUGUACUGUAUUUAAUUUAUUAGAUAUAAGACUAUUUUUACUUUUAUGAUUUUUUUUAUUUUCUUUUAUAAUUUUUUCAUUUACUUUUGAAUUAUUUUUCUUUACUUUGAUUUUUUAAUAUACAGGCAGAGCAUUGUUCAAAUGAACAAAAAAUGUGGGUUCGAUUACCACGUAGGUUUAAUUAUUAGAUAUAGGAGUAUUUUAUAUUUACUCUA
Molecule: long non-coding RNA, 853 nt
Organism: Chenopodium quinoa (quinoa)
Lineage: Eukaryota; Viridiplantae; Streptophyta; Magnoliopsida; Caryophyllales; Amaranthaceae
Exons: 2
Source: RefSeq, a predicted model, not a curated record